Fundulus heteroclitus (mummichog) is the source of this 4066-nucleotide RNA transcript. It is a transcript of the gene named gastrula zinc finger protein XlCGF26.1-like, with no coding region annotated. The transcript has 3 exons. NCBI's taxonomy places the organism in Eukaryota, Metazoa, Chordata, Actinopteri, Cyprinodontiformes, Fundulidae. The record is from RefSeq and is a predicted model, not a curated record.
GUGCGCAGACUCCGUCCUGCCUCAGUCCAGCGGUGGUGAUCGCAGGCUUUUCUUCUGUUUCUGGUUGUCAGAUGUUGUAAAGCUGAGCUCCACCUGUUCAGCAGCGGUUAACGGAGGUCUGGACGCAGAAAGGCCGACAGAGAUGCAGCGAUAACAGCUUAACAGACACAAACAUGGAUGCUGCUCUCAGCCCCGACAUUCAGAGGGGCCGAUUAGAUGUUCAGGAGAGGCUGCUGGUUAAAAUAGAAGCUGCUGAAGAACAGAGUCCUGGUGGUGAUGAUCAGGACCCAGAGCUCCUUCACAUCAAGGAGGAACAGGAGGAACCUUGGACCAGUCUGGAGGAAGAACAGCUCAAUGUAAAGGAGGAGACUGAUCCCACAGUGUUUCCACUAACUGUGGUUCUUGUGAAGAGUGAGGAUGAGGAAGAGAAACCUCUGUCCUCACAGCUUCACCAGCACCAACCAGAAGACAGAGAUCUACCAACCAGCAGCUCAGCUGACCAGAUGAAGGCAAAAACCGAUGAAGAGGACUCUGGAGGAUCAGAAUCCAGUAGGAACUCAGAUCCAAAUACUCAUGGAGACACUUCCAGUUCUUCAGAAACAGAGGUCAGUGAUGAUGAUGAAGAGGAGGAUGUGAGCCAUCCUGACUCUCAGCUACAACACCUGUCAGACUCUGGGUCUGAAACUGAAGACAGUGAGAAUGACUGGAAGGAGAGCAGAGCUCCUGAACCUGGAGUAAACACUGCCAACAAGUCUUUAAGCUGCUCUGAGUGCGGUCAGCAAUUUGUUAACAAGCGCUCUCUUCAGAGACACACGACGAUCAAAUCAAGAAAAAGGUCUUCAAACUGUACAGUUCAUUGUAAAGGCUUUAAGGAGAAGCAAAAUAUUGACUCAUUGAAAGUUCAAACUGGUUUAAAAUGUUUUACCUGUGAUGACUGUGGUAAAAGUUUUAACUUAAAAAACUCUUUAAAUCGACACCUGAGAAUCCACACAGGAGAGAAACCGUUCCGCUGUGACGUCUGCGGACAAAGAUUUAACCAAAAGUCUCACUUAAAAAUUCACAGGAGAAUCCACACAGGGGAGAAGCCGUUUAGUUGCGAUGAGUGUGGACUAAGGUUUAACCAAAAGUCGAGCCUAAAUCUACAUAUGAGAGUCCACUCAGCGGAGAAGCCGUUUUCUUGUGAUGUUUGUGAAGAAAGAUUUAACAAAAAAUCUGAUUUAAACAAACACAAGAGAAUCCACUUAGAAGAAAAACCAUUUGGUUGUGAUGUCUGUGGAAAAAGAUUUAGUCGAAAGACAGACUUAAAUAUGCACACAAGAGUCCACACAGGAGACAAACCCUUUAGUUGUGAUGUUUGUGGACAAACAUUUAGCCUUAAAGCUAAUUUAAACAAACACAUGAGGAUCCACACAGGAGACAAACCAUUCGGUUGCCUUUUUUGUGAACAAAGAUUUAACAGAAGGUCACAUUUAAACAUACACAUCAGAAUCCACACAGGAGAAAAGCCCUUUGUUUGUGAUGUUUGUGGACAAAGAUUUAGUGAUAAGUCAGCCGUGAACAAACACAUGAGAAUCCACACUGGAGACAAACCAUUUGGUUGUGAAGUUUGUGGGAAAGGAUUUAACCAAAAGUCGAGUUUAAACAAGCACUUGCGGAUCCACACUGGUGACAAACCAUUUGGUUGUGAUAUUUGUGGACAAAGUUUUAAUCAAAAGUCAACUUUAAAUAUACACAUGAGGAUCCACACAGGAGACAAGCCAUUUGUAUGCCAUGUCUGUGGACAAAGAUUUAACCACAAAUCAAACUUAAACAAACACAUGAGGAUACACACAGGAGAAAAGCCAUUUGGUUGUCAUAUAUGUGGGAAAAGAUUUUACCAAAAGCCUCAUUUAAACAGACACAUGAGAAUCCACAUCGGAGAGGAAGCCGUUUAAAUAUUUAUGUUGCAGGGUCAUUCCCAACUUGGAACCCCAGAAUAGUUCUUCCCCAGGAAGCUAAUCUAGAGCCAAUUAAGGUGACGCCAACUGUAAGAUUGCUCUGGCUACAUGGAAGUACACCAGAAAGACAAAGGCAGGGCGCAGUUAUGGGUGAAUUGAAUGAAAUUCCAAAACACCGGAGGACGCAAGGGAGCCAGCACAAAAACAAGCGUAGAUCUGGGGUGCAAACGAGUAAGCGAUCAGGCAAGGUGACAUGAAGCAACAGUAGGAACCAGAGGUAAAUGGGUCAAUGAGAGGAGCUUAAAUACUGGGAGGAUGAGAGUUGUAGCAAUUGCAGGGGUAAAUUGACUAACUGAUGGCAGGUGUGGAGAAGGAGCUGGAAGAACAACUGAAGAGAAAGAGGUAGUGGGAACAGAGGGACAAGAACGACAAUCUAAAUGUAACUGAGGAUAACUAGAUACAGGGAAUAAACUAAAUACAUUGCCGAAGGGACCUGAAACACGGCUGAUCUGAUAAACACCAAAACCAAGAACUGUGUAAACAGUGACAGUCUAACCCCUGACAACAUGGUGGUGAUAGUGAAGUUUAAAUGGUUACCAGAGGUAAUUUUGCUUUAUCUACUAACAUUAAGGCAAAGAAGAUAAGGAAAACAUUUUUCAAACAUAUUUUACACUACGUCAGUGAAAUAGUUUCAAGGUAACUACAGACAAGUUAACAUUAAAGACCAAGUUUAAAUACCCAAGUUAUACCCAUCUUGAAAUAUAUAUUACUGACUUAAAAUACUUACUGUGGACUGCAAUAGAUGUUCUUAUGCUGCCAUCAAGCUAUCCAUGACGAGAAUUUACAGUGGAAUUCUGUAUUGGGGGUUCAAAUUUAACUUUACCUUUUAAAAGCUUUGUGCAAAAUCAGAGUCCUGUUAACUGAUCAUAGCAGACAAAGAUUCUGCUUCUGCAACCUGAAGUUGCAACAAACGUGGAUUCAGAACCCAUAAAAACACAGUAGAACUGAUGUGAAGCAUUACCAUUUAACCAUUAAGCACACAAUGUAAUUCUGAAUAAAAAUGGAGUUACCUUUGUACGGACAAACAUGCGGUAGUUUCCCGUUGAUCACUGUUGUCUUCAGCUACUCAUGCAGUCGGCUGCAGGCCUUUCUCCAUUUUUUCUAGACUCCUUUCAGGUGUUUGUAAACAACCAAACUGUAUUCCACCUUCUAAACUGGAUAACACGUGUCUGAAAUUGUACUUUCCCCUCUGACAACAUUUAACCAUUUUUACUGAUGUUUUUUUUUUUUUUUUAACACAAUUACAAUGUGUUUGUAAUGUAAAAACCUGUCAAUGUUGUUGGAGCUGCAGUAAGGGCCGUUUCAGUCACCAUUAGUUAUCUGCUUCCCAGGUUUAGGGUCCCAAACCAGGCUGUUUAUUUACACCUCUGACCCUGAGAGGAUCCAACUAUAAGAGUGUUGCUGCUUUAGAACCUUUGAUCUGAGGAUUCAGGUCAACACCCAUCACAGCAGUGGAGUCCAGAGCGCCUUUAGAAAUGAUGGAAUCACACCAAUACGGCGCCUAGCCAAUUGUUCUGGUGUGGUUAUGGUCUAAAUGCCAAAUGCAGUCCAUCAACUCUGUGGAAAUGUUUUACUUGAAAGGAUUUUUGCGUUGGACUGCAGUCUCCCAUCAGGGGGCGACUGCCCUCACAGCUCUUUGAAGAAGGCUGAUUCUAAAUUUAUUAGUUGUGGCUUUGAGGCUUCUGAAGCGUUUACCCUGCCUGGGUGGUGGGAAUCAGUGGAGAUGCGUCUGGCCCUUCUUUAUACUCGUUCAGCAUAAAUUGAGUCUAGAUCCUGCAGACGGCGGCAUUCUGUGUUGAGGAUCAGUGGAGCAGAUGCGUUUCCCUAUCCUCACCACUCUUUGUCUCCAGGAUCGGCCUUUAAUGUCAUUGCUGCACAGUUUGGUACUCCAUCUGUAUUUAAACUCCCUGCUUUUUAUAACUCAUCACUGGUUUCCUACAUUGGCAUCAUGGUCCUUGUUGCUCUGCCAGAUUUUUCGCCGUCAUUCUUCUUCAUGGCUUGUUUCUCUGCCCUGUUCCUCGUGUCUGUACAUUUAUUUUUUAAUUUAGUUAUAAAAAAUCUACACUCCA